GACGAACGCUGGCGGCGUGCCUAAUACAUGCAAGUAGAACGCAGUUGCGAACGGGUGAGUAACGCGUAGGUAACUGCCUCAUAGCGGGGGAUAACUAAUGGAAACGAUAUCUAAUACCCCAUACUGUGAGAUGUACCUGCGUUGUAUUAGUUAGUUGGUGAGGUAAAGGCUCACCAAGGCGACGAUACAUAGCCGACAUGAGAGGUGGACGGGCCAAACUGGGACUGAGACACGGUCCAGACGCCUACGGGAGGCAGCAGUGGGGAAUAUUGCACAAUGGGCGAAAUCCGGAUGCAGCCAGGCGGCGGGUAUGAAGAAGGCCUUCGGGUUGUAAAGUACUUUCAGCGAGGAGCGUUACCCGCAGAAGAAGCACCGGCUAACUCCGUGCCAGCAGCCGCGGUAAUAC
RNAcentral lists this ribosomal RNA (406 nucleotides) under uncultured bacterium. RNAcentral's name for it is "partial 16S ribosomal RNA". It matches the Rfam family "Bacterial small subunit ribosomal RNA", at positions 28 to 526 of the family's 1533-position model. The record is from RNAcentral.